UUGGCUCAGGUUCAGUCCCGACACAAUCCGGCCUUCCGCGCUCACGACCAAUGGUUCGAUGCGACGCGCGGAAGAGUCAUCAUCAACAGACAUGUGAGUCGCCGACUCCAGCAAGCGAGUCGCCGAUCCCGUAAGAGGAAUCGGUGAGGCUUGGCUGGCAGUCGCCGACCUAGUGACAGCUGAAGCCUGCCCCUUUCGCCUGAAGCAUCUCCCUCUGACAGGGCC
Molecule: long non-coding RNA, 225 nt
Filed under: Zostera marina
Lineage: Eukaryota; Viridiplantae; Streptophyta; Magnoliopsida; Alismatales; Zosteraceae
Description: long non-coding RNA (ZMAR_LNC005863)
Source: RNAcentral